This 670-nucleotide ribosomal RNA is filed under the name Pseudarthrobacter sp. RNAcentral describes it as "bacterial SSU rRNA". It matches the Rfam family "Bacterial small subunit ribosomal RNA", at positions 92 to 775 of the family's 1533-position model. Lineage: Bacteria; Bacillati; Actinomycetota; Actinomycetes; Micrococcales; Micrococcaceae. The record is from RNAcentral.
UUAGUGGCGAACGGGUGAGUAACACGUGAGUAACCUGCCCUUAACUCUGGGAUAAGCCUGGGAAACUGGGUCUAAUACCGGAUAUGACUCCUCAUCGCAUGGUGGGGGGUGGAAAGCUUUUUGUGGUUUUGGAUGGACUCGCGGCCUAUCAGCUUGUUGGUGAGGUAAUGGCUUACCAAGGCGACGACGGGUAGCCGGCCUGAGAGGGUGACCGGCCACACUGGGACUGAGACACGGCCCAGACUCCUACGGGAGGCAGCAGUGGGGAAUAUUGCACAAUGGGCGCAAGCCUGAUGCAGCGACGCCGCGUGAGGGAUGACGGCCUUCGGGUUGUAAACCUCUUUCAGUAGGGAAGAAGCGAAAGUGACGGUACCUGCAGAAGAAGCGCCGGCUAACUACGUGCCAGCAGCCGCGGUAAUACGUAGGGCGCAAGCGUUAUCCGGAAUUAUUGGGCGUAAAGAGCUCGUAGGCGGUUUGUCGCGUCUGCCGUGAAAGUCCGGGGCUCAACUCCGGAUCUGCGGUGGGUACGGGCAGACUAGAGUGAUGUAGGGGAGACUGGAAUUCCUGGUGUAGCGGUGAAAUGCGCAGAUAUCAGGAGGAACACCGAUGGCGAAGGCAGGUCUCUGGGCAUUAACUGACGCUGAGGAGCGAAAGCAUGGGGAGCGAACAG